This is a non-coding RNA of Oryctolagus cuniculus (rabbit), 1067 nucleotides long. The record is from RefSeq and is a predicted model, not a curated record. Lineage: Eukaryota; Metazoa; Chordata; Mammalia; Lagomorpha; Leporidae.
AGCCAAGUCGAAUCAGAUCCUAAUUGCCAUGUGUUUCCGCUGCCCCAGCGUCCUGUGGCCGUCUCUGAUUCCUCUGCUGUGGCAGUUUGAGAGGCAUUGUUCACACUUAGCUGUUUGUGGUCUGCCAACCAUUGCCCAAACAGAAGAGGAGCAGCACCUGUCAUCUCCCCAGACCCAGUGACUCCAGUGUUUCAGAGUUUAUUUUUUAAGGGGAGGUCAUUUUGGUCCCCUUAACACUCAGCAAGAGCCCUUGAUUUGAAGCUGUAGACACUACCUUCAGCGAGAAAGCCCCAUGGCAUCGUCAUGCUGGGAACCAGGAGAGCAAGGGGGCCUGGUUGCCCCAUCCCAGCGUGGCAGGGGAGAGGCUGGGAGCUGUCAACUCCUGGCACGGCAGCCACGGCCUCGUCGCUAGCAGUGAUUGCCAUGUACUGAUGCUUGGCCCAUCUGAAGUCCUCCAAGAACUCCAUCACUAUUGUCCUUAUUUCACCGAGAAGAUUCGCACCUUGCCCACAGUAGGACGUGAUACCAUGAGAAAACCUGAUUUUCUAGAGGAAAUGCAGAAGGAGGACUGCUGCCUUGAGGAAGAGUUACAGAGAGAGAAAGAGAGGGAGAGAAAGAGAGAGAGAGAGAAUGUUCCAUCUGCUGGUUCACUCCCCAAGUGGCCACAACACCUGGGGCUAGACCGGGCCAAAGCCAGGAGCCAGGAGCCAGGAACCAGGAGCUUCUUCCAGGGCUCCCACUUGGAUGCAGGAUCCCAAGCACUUGGGCCAUCUUCCACUGCUUUCUCAGGCCAUAGCAGGCAGUUGGAUCAGAAGUGGAGCAGCUGGGACAUAAACCAGUUCCCACAUGGGGUGCUGACAUCGCAGGAGGCAGCUUAACCUGCUAAGCCACAGUGCUGCCCCAAGAUGAGGUAUAUUAAUGCACAGCUUUGCUUGCUUCCUUUCACACAGUCAAGAAUAGGCAUUUUCUAGGCCUGAUCUAGUUUUUGCAGGGAAAUUGCUCAAUAAAAGGGUACUUGAAAAAGUGUGUGCACAAACGGAAUUAAAAGAUGUUUAAUUUGGAACUAA